GGCUCGGUGGUGAAAUUGGUAUACACGUCAGACUUAAAAUCUGAUUGCUGAAUAAGCAGUGUGGGUUCGAGUCCCACCCGAGCCA
RNAcentral lists this transfer RNA (85 nucleotides) under Candidatus Curtissbacteria bacterium. RNAcentral describes it as "tRNA-Leu". It matches the Rfam family "tRNA". From Rfam's summary of the family: Transfer RNA (tRNA) molecules are approximately 80 nucleotides in length. Their secondary structure includes four short double-helical elements and three loops (D, anti-codon, and T loops). The record is from RNAcentral. Lineage: Bacteria; Candidatus Curtissiibacteriota.